UACGUAGGGAGCAAGCGUUGUUCGGAAUUAUUGGGCGUAAAGAGCGCGUAGGCGGUUCGGUAAGUCUGAUGUGAAAUCCCGGAGCUUAACUCCGGAACUGCAUUGGAAACUGCCGGGCUUGAGUGCGGGAGAGGAGAGUGGAAUUCCCAGUGUAGAGGUGAAAUUCGUAGAUAUUGGGAGGAACACCGGUGGCGAAGGCGGCUCUCUGGACCGCAACUGACGCUGAGGCGCGAAAGCUCGGGGAGCAAAC
RNAcentral lists this ribosomal RNA (250 nucleotides) under uncultured bacterium. RNAcentral's name for it is "partial 16S ribosomal RNA". It matches the Rfam family "Bacterial small subunit ribosomal RNA", at positions 524 to 773 of the family's 1533-position model. The record is from RNAcentral.